UGGCAGCACAUAUACUAAUAUACUAAAAUCGGAAUGAUACAGAGAAAUCAGAAUGGCCCCUGUGCAAGGAUGACACGCAACUUCUUGAAGUGUUCCAUAUUUUC
This is a small nuclear RNA of Cynocephalus volans (Philippine flying lemur), 104 nucleotides long. NCBI's taxonomy places the organism in Eukaryota, Metazoa, Chordata, Mammalia, Dermoptera, Cynocephalidae. The record is from RefSeq and is a predicted model, not a curated record.